RNAcentral lists this non-coding RNA (45 nucleotides) under Castellaniella defragrans. RNAcentral describes it as "Guanidine-II sequence". It matches the Rfam family "Guanidine-II riboswitch aptamer (mini-ykkC)". From Rfam's summary of the family: Simpler in structure and has fewer highly conserved nucleotide positions than the ykkC-yxkD leader. Despite this each of its two stem-loop structures directly bind free guanidine. The record is from RNAcentral. RNAcentral also lists the same sequence under 1 other name. Lineage: Bacteria; Pseudomonadati; Pseudomonadota; Betaproteobacteria; Burkholderiales; Alcaligenaceae.
AAGCAGGGACGACUUUGCUUCUCGUACUUCAUCGGGGACGGCCCC